Molecule: ribosomal RNA, 250 nt
Filed under: uncultured bacterium
Lineage: Bacteria
Also listed under: 1 other name
Description: partial 16S ribosomal RNA
Rfam family: Bacterial small subunit ribosomal RNA
Source: RNAcentral
UACGAAGGGUGCAAGCGUUAAUCGGAAUUACUGGGCGUAAAGCGCGCGUAGGUGGUUUGGUAAGAUGGAUGUGAAAUCCCCGGGCUCAACCUGGGAACUGCAUCCAUAACUGCCUGACUAGAGUACGGUAGAGGGUGGUGGAAUUUCCUGUGUAGCGGUGAAAUGCGUAGAUAUAGGAAGGAACACCAGUGGCGAAGGCGACCACCUGGACUGAUACUGACACUGAGGUGCGAAAGCGUGGGGAGCAAAC